RNAcentral lists this ribosomal RNA (467 nucleotides) under uncultured bacterium. Its description in RNAcentral is "partial 16S ribosomal RNA". It matches the Rfam family "Bacterial small subunit ribosomal RNA", at positions 28 to 507 of the family's 1533-position model. The record is from RNAcentral.
GACGAACGCUGGCGGCGUGCUUAACACAUGCAAGUCGAACGGAAAGGCCUCUUUCGGGGGGUACUCGAGUGGCGAACGGGUGAGUAACACGUGAGUAACCUGCCCUUGACUUUGGGAUAACUUCAGGAAACUGGGGCUAAUACCGGAUAGGAGAUCCUGCUGCACGGUGGGGGUUGGAAAGUUUCGGCGGUUGGGGAUGGACUCGCGGCGUAUCAGCUUGUUGGUGGGGUAGUGGCUUACCAAGGCUUUGACGGGUAGCCGGCCUGAGAGGGUGACCGGCCACCCUGGCACUUAGGGGCGGCCCAGGCUCCGACGGGAGGCAGAAGUGGGGAAUCUUGCACAAGGGGUGGAAGCCGGAUGCAGCAACGCCGUGGGCGGGAUGACGGCCCUCGGGUUGUAAACCGCUUGCGCUAAUGACGAAGCUUUGUGUGACGGUAGUGGGUAAAGAAGCACCGGCUAACUACGUG